This 306-nucleotide unclassified non-coding RNA is filed under the name plant metagenome. RNAcentral's name for it is "partial contains 5.8S ribosomal RNA, internal transcribed spacer 2, and large subunit ribosomal RNA". The stretch from base 1 to 105 matches the Rfam family "5.8S ribosomal RNA", at positions 50 to 154 of the family's 154-position model. The record is from RNAcentral.
GAAAUGCGAUAAGUAGUGUGAAUUGCAGAAUUCAGUGAAUCAUCGAAUCUUUGAACGCACAUUGCGCCCCUUGGUAUUCCAUGGGGCAUGCCUGUUCGAGCGUCAUUUGUACCUUCAAGCUUUGCUUGGUGUUGGGUGUUUGUCUCGCCUCUGCGCGCAGACUCUCCUCAAAACAAUUGGCAGCCGGCGUAUUGAUUUCGGAGCGCAGUACAUCUCGCGCUUUGCACUCAUAACGACGACGUCCAAAAAGUACAUUUUUUACACUCUUGACCUCGGAUCAGGUAGGGAUACCCGCUGAACUUAAGC